Molecule: ribosomal RNA, 239 nt
Filed under: uncultured bacterium
Lineage: Bacteria
Description: partial 16S ribosomal RNA
Rfam family: Bacterial small subunit ribosomal RNA
Source: RNAcentral
UUUCCUACGGGGGGCAGCAGUGGGGGAUAUUGCACAAUGGGGGGAACCCUGAUGCAGCGACGCCGCGUGGGUGAAGGAGCGUUUCGGCGCGUAAAGCCCUAUCGGCAGGGAAGAAGGAGGACGGUACCUGACUAAGAAGCCCCGGCUAACUACGUGCCAGCAGCCGCGGUAAUACGUAGGGGGCAAGCGUUAUCCGGAUUUACUGGGUGUAAAGAGCGCGUAGGCGGGGGGGCAAGUCA